Molecule: unclassified non-coding RNA, 240 nt
Filed under: soil metagenome
Description: partial contains 5.8S ribosomal RNA, internal transcribed spacer 2, and large subunit ribosomal RNA
Source: RNAcentral
AACAAGGCGUACCUGCGGACCUGCGGAGGGAUCAUUACCGAGUGUGAACCCCCCCGUAAAAAAGAGGGGUUACCUCCCGUCCUUUGCCGGGAACCCCUUUCCAACUUGGAAGGAGGUUGUUUUCAGACCCUUCUGCUUCGGUGGGGUAACCCACCGGAACAACCUCAAAAAUAUUCUCAAUUCAAAACCGUUCAGUCCGAGAACUUUUUUGAAAAGCGAAAAAACUUUCAACAACGGAUC